GAUGAAGAACGUAGCGAAAUGCGAUAAGUAAUGCGAAUUGCAGAAUUCCGUGAGUCAUCGAAUCUUUGAACGCACAUUGCGCCCGCUGGUAUUCCGGCGGGCAUGCCUGUUCGAGCGUCAUUUCAACCCUCAAGCCCCCGGGUUUGGUGUUGGGGAUCGGCUCUGCCCUUCUGGGCGGUGCCGCCCCCGAAAUACAUUGGCGGUCUCGCUGCAGCCUCCAUUGCGUAGUAGCUAACACCUCGCAACUGGAACGCGGCGCGGCCAUGCCAUAAAACCCCAACUUCUGAAUGUUGACCUCGGAUCAGGUAGGAAUACCCGCUGAACUUAAGCAUAUCAAUAAGCGGAGGA
This 348-nucleotide unclassified non-coding RNA is filed under the name soil metagenome. Its description in RNAcentral is "partial contains 5.8S ribosomal RNA, internal transcribed spacer 2, and large subunit ribosomal RNA". The stretch from base 1 to 120 matches the Rfam family "5.8S ribosomal RNA", at positions 35 to 154 of the family's 154-position model. The record is from RNAcentral.